GUUUUCUCCCAGGGGCCGGCCUUUGCGUCCCCCUCGCUGCAGUCAGGCCCACCACGGCUGGGCUUUGGAGACCUAACGCAAAUCCUGCUCAUGAAAACUCCGAGGCUGCUCCUGUGGGAUCUACGGCGUCACCCAGGCUUAAACCCCGAGAUCCGCAGGUUCACACCUCCACGCGGGGAGCAGCGUCCGCAACCGUCAGCAGGAGGCAGUGCAGCCCAGUGGGCGGUGCCUGAGGCCCCAGGCAGGUCCUCCCUCCAGCGCCCCGCCUGCGGGAGGACUUUGAGCCCGGGCUGCGCAACAGGAAAGGGAGAUUUUUAAUGGUCUCAUCCCAAUUUAAACAUUUUAGCUGGGGGCGGGCAGCGUAAAAGGAACUGCGGCGGUACUUCCAGCUGCCGCACACAGCACCGAAAAGCAAAAGUAGGGGCGUGCUCGCUCCCCAAACCACGCGGCCCGAGACUACUCCGUCGGGCGACAGCACCAGCUCGAAGAGCUCUCGGAAAGAGAAAAGCUCAGAUGUUUUUUUUUAAUCCCAGGUGAAAGCCCGGGGCACUGGCUUUGAUUGAAGCGAGGUAGGUUCCUGUAGCCCGAGGCAGGGCCGCUUUCCUUUGUGGGCCAAGAAAGCAGUGGUGCUGACGGAGGGCAGAAAUGGUCUCCUCCCAAGGCAGCAGGUGUGGGGACAGCUCCGACCCCGCAGGGGCCACGGGAGAAGCCCACAACGCGUGGCUACUGCAGGUGCUCCGAGUUCCUAAGCACAGUGGGAGAUACUUCCAGCAAACAUCACCCUGCCCUAAGGGAGUUACCCACAAAGGGGAGACAUCGGAUCAACCCCAGGAACAGCAGGCUCUGCCCGGAGAGACGUCCGAGCCACGACCCUCUCUGUCCACCGAGGCAACGUGAGAUUCCCAAACGGCCCCACCCACAGCCAGGCCGGCUUGGGACGAGAAGGAAACCGAAGCAGCCUGCCCUGCCGAGCUGCGAUGUCUCACCACGUCCUCCCGCUGCCGUCACCCCGCCGGCCUGACACCCCUGGGCGCUGCGGCCCACUUGCCUGCAGUUACACCACGCCUCCUUUGCGGGGUCCCCUCCGGCUGCUCCCGACAAGCCUAACGCUGCAUCUAGUUUGAUCUCUGACUCAGCUCUGAUCCUCCCUACAAGGUGGCCUGGUGCCACCCACGCCCAGGGCGACAUAUGGUCCGUGCCACCCUAGGACCCAGAGGGACUGCAGAACAAGCCGGUGACAGCUGAUGGUAACCUGAUUAUUUCAUCUUUCCACUGAAGAGGCUUUUGCUUCAGGGAAAAUAACACACAAAUGCUGGAGAUGGGGUUGACCUCAAGGCGGGGAAUGGCUGGCUUAAUUUAGGGGCAGUUUCUGUUCCCUCCAUUGUUCAGUGAGCUACGGGAAUGGACCGGAUCUUUUCUUCUGUCUUGUCCGGCCACCUGCUUCGCUUCUCAGUUACUUGAAAGUGCUUUAUAGUGUCUUUGUCAGUAAGAUAAAAGAAACAUUAAAUUUUAAAAAUGUCCUAUGCUUUGUUUACUAUUAAUUUAUAUGGCAAAAAUAAGUAACAUUUUACUCUUUUUCUUAUUUUUUAAAAUUUUUUAUUUUUUGAGACAGGGUGUCACCAUAUACCCCAGGCUGGUCUUGAAGUCAAGGCGAUCCUCCUGCCUCAGCCUCCCAAGUGUUGGGAUUACAGGUGUGUACCACCAUGCCCAGUGUGUGACAUUUUAAUAAAACUGGAUUUGGAAAACUUCUUUUGUUUUGUUUUGUUUGAGACAGUCUUGCUAUGUAGUCCAGGCCGGCUUCGAACUCAGAGCAAUCCUCCUGCCUCAGCCUUCUAAGUGCUGGGAUUACAG
Long non-coding RNA from Chinchilla lanigera (long-tailed chinchilla), 1851 nucleotides. The record is from Ensembl. NCBI's taxonomy places the organism in Eukaryota, Metazoa, Chordata, Mammalia, Rodentia, Chinchillidae.